Molecule: ribosomal RNA, 558 nt
Filed under: uncultured bacterium
Lineage: Bacteria
Description: bacterial SSU rRNA
Rfam family: Bacterial small subunit ribosomal RNA
Source: RNAcentral
UGAGUUUGAUCAUGGCUCAGGAUGAACGCUGGCGGCGUGCCUAACACAUGCAAGUCGAACGGAGUUUAUAUUAAGAAGUCUUCGGACGGAUUGAUAUAAACUUAGUGGCGGACGGGUGAGUAACGCGUGGGUAACCUGCCUCAUACAGGGGGAUAACAGUCGGAAACGGCUGCUAAAACCGCAUAAGCAUACAGUAUCGCAUGGUACAGUGUGAAAAUAUUUAUAGGUAUGAGAUGGGCCCGCGUCUGAUUAGCUAGUUGGUGAGAUAAAAGCUCACCAAGGCGACGAUCAGUAGCCGGCUUGAGAGAGUGACCGGCCACAUUGGGGCUGAGACACGGCCCAAACUCCUACGGGAGGCAGCAGUGGGGAAUAUUGCACAAUGGGGUAAACCCUGAUGCAGCGACGCCGCGUGAGUGAAGAAGUAUUUCGGUAUGUAAAGCUCUAUCAGCAGGGAAGAAAUUGACGGUACCUGACUAAGAAGCCCCGGCUAACUACGUGCCAGCAGCCGCGGUAAUACGUAGGGGGCAAGCGUUAUCCGGAUUUACUGGGUGUAAAGGG